UUGGAGCCUGGCCUAUCCAGGCCUCCGUCGAAGACCGCAGGCGUCUCGCAAGAGGCUUAAUCCCCUGCGUAGAC
RNAcentral lists this small RNA (74 nucleotides) under Salmonella enterica subsp. enterica serovar Typhi. RNAcentral's name for it is "StyR-55". The record is from RNAcentral. Lineage: Bacteria; Pseudomonadati; Pseudomonadota; Gammaproteobacteria; Enterobacterales; Enterobacteriaceae.